UACGUAGGGUGCGAGCGUUAAUCGGAAUUACUGGGCGUAAAGCGUGCGCAGGCGGUUCGUUUGUGUCGGCGGUGAAAGCCCCCGGGCUUAACCUGGGAAUUGCAUUUUGAUACUCUGGAGCUUUGAGUGUGGGAGAGGAGAGUGGAAAUUCCCCAGUGUAGAGGUGAAAAUUCGUAGAUAUUUGGGAAGAACACCGGUGGCGAAGGCGGCUCUCUGGACCACAACUGAC
Molecule: ribosomal RNA, 229 nt
Filed under: uncultured bacterium
Lineage: Bacteria
Description: partial 16S ribosomal RNA
Rfam family: Bacterial small subunit ribosomal RNA
Source: RNAcentral